AUUGAACGCUAGCGGGAUGCUUUACACAUGCAAGUCGAACGGCAGCGCGGACUUCGGUCUGGCGGCGAGUGGCGAACGGGUGAGUAAUGUAUCGGAACGUGCCCAGUAGCGGGGGAUAACUACGCGAAAGCGUGGCUAAUACCGCGAUACGCCUACGGGGAAAGGGGGGAGUUCUUCGGAACCUCUCACUAUUGGAGCGGCCGAUAUCGGGAUUAGUCUAGUUGGUGGGGUAAAGGCCUACCAAGGCG
RNAcentral lists this ribosomal RNA (248 nucleotides) under uncultured bacterium. Its description in RNAcentral is "partial 16S ribosomal RNA". It matches the Rfam family "Bacterial small subunit ribosomal RNA", at positions 30 to 275 of the family's 1533-position model. The record is from RNAcentral.